Molecule: ribosomal RNA, 492 nt
Filed under: uncultured bacterium
Lineage: Bacteria
Description: partial 16S ribosomal RNA
Rfam family: Bacterial small subunit ribosomal RNA
Source: RNAcentral
AGUGAACGCUGGCGGUAGGCCUAACACAUGCAAGUCGAACGGCAGCACAGUAAGAGCUUGCUCUUACGGGUGGCGAGUGGCGGACGGGUGAGGAAUACAUCGGAAUCUACUUUUUCGUGGGGGAUAACGUAGGGAAACUUACGCUAAUACCGCAUACGACCUACGGGUGAAAGCAGGGGAUCUUCGGACCUUGCGCGAUUGAAUGAGCCGAUGUCGGAUUAGCUAGUUGGCGGGGUAAAGGCCCACCAAGGCGACGAUCCGUAGCUGGUCUGAGAGGAUGAUCAGCCAAACUGGAACUGUGACACGGUCCAGACUCCUAAGGGAGGCAGCAGUGGGGAAUAUUGGACAAUGGGCGCAAGCCUGAUCCAGCCAUACCGCGUGGGUGAAGAAGGCCUUCGGGUUGUAAAGCCCUUUUGUUGGGAAAGAAAAGCAGCAGGUUAAUACCCCGCUGUUCUGACGGUACCCAAAGAAUAAGCACCGGCUAACUUCGUG